GAGGAGAUCAUCGCUAAUUGUGAUGGUUUCAUUGUCAGGGCCCCUUUAUAUGUUUCUCCUCUUUAGUAUGUGUUCGCCUUCCAGAUUUUGACUGUUCAUUUUCUCUAGAAGAUUGCACUCUUGGUCAGAACACAAUUUCUAAUCCUAUGAUCUGGCGGUGGCUCAUCUUCAAGAUUCCUGUAUCUGCUUUUCUUGGGAGAUUAUCUUCAUUUCUGAAAAGAUAUACAAACUCAAUAGUGAUAAUAUUUCAUUUCUGGAAGAAUAUACAAGUUCAAUGGAAUAAACACAUUCAUACAUAUUUGAAUAUAUGAUGCAUGCCAAAUAGAUAUUUUUCAUUUUAAUAUUUGAGUUUAUUUUACCCUGCUCUUGGUAUAUUGGUAUUGGUCUCUUGGAUGCCUGGGACUAGUCUUUUGCCAUGGAAGUACAUUAUGCAUUUGCUCAGCCAGUCAGUCAGCCUUUCAUUCACUUCCUAUUAGCUUUUGUCGAAGUAAAAUUAGUAAAUAGAAUUGUUGUAUUGUAGUUCGCUUUCUUUCAUUGCACAAAUCAUAAGAUACUUGUACUGUGAAUUUAGCAGAUGAGUCCUUUGAUUCCCAAAUCAUUCUGUUGGCUUAAAGAUGACUCAAGACAUCAUCAUUUACAAAAUCAAUCAAAAAUAGCCUGUUUUUUUUAUUUAGAUGAUUAGUCACUCUUAGAGUAUAGCUAAAAUUUAU
RNAcentral lists this long non-coding RNA (710 nucleotides) under Jatropha curcas. Its description in RNAcentral is "long non-coding RNA (JCUR_LNC003605)". The record is from RNAcentral. Lineage: Eukaryota; Viridiplantae; Streptophyta; Magnoliopsida; Malpighiales; Euphorbiaceae.